Ipomoea triloba (trilobed morning glory) is the source of this 117-nucleotide small nuclear RNA. RefSeq annotates it as U5 spliceosomal RNA. The transcript has a single exon. NCBI's taxonomy places the organism in Eukaryota, Viridiplantae, Streptophyta, Magnoliopsida, Solanales, Convolvulaceae. The record is from RefSeq and is a predicted model, not a curated record.
AGCCAUGCAGUGAGCACAAAGCGAACUAUUCUUUCGCCUUUUACUAAAGAAUACCGUGUGCACAUUGUCAUGAAUGGCAGACUCUAAGUUUUGAGGUGUUUCUUUUUAGAGAGAAAC